RNAcentral lists this ribosomal RNA (275 nucleotides) under uncultured prokaryote. Its description in RNAcentral is "partial 16S ribosomal RNA". It matches the Rfam family "Bacterial small subunit ribosomal RNA", at positions 524 to 798 of the family's 1533-position model. The record is from RNAcentral.
UACGGAGGAUCCGAGCGUUAUCCGGAUUUAUUGGGUUUAAAGGGUGCGUAGGUGGAUUGGUAAGUCAGUGGUGAAAGUUUGCAGCUUAACUGUAAAAGUGCCUUCGAAACUGGUUUCCUUGAGUGUAGAUGAAGUAGGCGGAAUUUGUGGUGUAGCGGUGAAAUGCAUAGAUAUCACGAGGAACUCCGAUUGCGCAGGCAGCUUACUAAACCAUAACUGACGCUCAGGCACGAAGGCGUGGGGAUCAAACAGGAUUAGAUACCCCUGUAGUCCCU